UGCCAGCAGCCGCGGUAAUACGGAGGGGGUUAGCGUUGUUCGGAAUCACUGGGCGUAAAGCGCACGUAGGCGGACUUUUAAGUCAGGGGUGAAAUCCCGGGGCUCAACCUAGGAAUUGCCUUUGAAACUGAUUGUCUAGAGACCGGAAGAGGAUGGUGGAAUUCCCAGUGUAGAGGUGAAAUUCGUAGAUAUUGGGAAGAACACCGGUGGCGAAGGCGGCCAUCUGGUCCGGAUCUGACGCUGAGGCGCGAAAGCGUGGGGAGCAAACAGGAUUAGAUA
RNAcentral lists this ribosomal RNA (279 nucleotides) under uncultured bacterium. RNAcentral's name for it is "partial 16S ribosomal RNA". It matches the Rfam family "Bacterial small subunit ribosomal RNA", at positions 506 to 784 of the family's 1533-position model. The record is from RNAcentral.